Long non-coding RNA from Bos taurus (domestic cattle), 557 nucleotides. The record is from Ensembl. Lineage: Eukaryota; Metazoa; Chordata; Mammalia; Artiodactyla; Bovidae.
CCCGUGGACUGUACCCCACCAAGCUCCUCUGUCCGUGGAAUUUUCCAGGCGGAUUCUUUACCGACUGAGCCACCUGGGAAGGCGGGGAAGCCCCACACCAUUGCCAAAGAGUUGUUUUUACAGGAAGCAGACUGCCCUCCAGAUGAAAACUGCUGACCACAAGAAGACCCUCAACUGGUCAAAACCAGAAGGUUGAUGAUGCUUGAAAGUUCACCUGGAUGCCAACCAAUCCUAGAAUUAUCCAGGAGCUGAUCACGCCCUGCUUCUCAAGCUCUGCUACACUCUUAAAACUCCUCACUACCCUCUCCAGGGUGAGUCACAUAGUCUUCAGGGCAUUAACCCCUCUCCCUGGAAAAGCAAUAAAAGCUACUCUUUUCUACUUCACCCAACUGUGUCCACGCUUCCAUUCAGCACCAGUGAAUAGAGGCCGAGUUUUGACAACAGAGAGACAGAGAUGGUUAGAAGGAAAAGAAUAAUUAUUUCCUCAUAAUUCACAUCAGGGAAGAAACUUACAUUAUCUCAAGAACAGACACAUGAAAUUUUUUAAUUACCCAAAC